This 231-nucleotide unclassified non-coding RNA is filed under the name Hevea brasiliensis (rubber tree). The record is from RNAcentral. Lineage: Eukaryota; Viridiplantae; Streptophyta; Magnoliopsida; Malpighiales; Euphorbiaceae.
GCAAAUUCAGACCCAUUCACCAGUGAAAUCAUCGAUUGACCAGGAGAACUUAUGAUCUUAUCCACAUUUAUCUUGGAAUUCCAUCGAAGAAUAGAUAUUAAUGAGGAUUCUCCCAAGACAGCAAGAUCCACCAAGGACCUUACUUCAACUGCUCCAUUCUGAUACACUAAAACCAGUCCAAAAUUUUCAAUGUCAUUCUUAAGAAUGGAAGUCCAAGAACAUGGUUUAGCA